RNAcentral lists this ribosomal RNA (460 nucleotides) under uncultured bacterium. RNAcentral's name for it is "partial 16S ribosomal RNA". It matches the Rfam family "Bacterial small subunit ribosomal RNA", at positions 338 to 795 of the family's 1533-position model. The record is from RNAcentral.
CCUACGGGGGGCUGCAGUGAGGAAUAUUGGUCAAUGGGCGAGAGCCUGAACCAGCCAAGUAGCGUGAAGGAUGACUGCCCUACGGGUUGUAAACUUCUUUUAUAAAGGAAUAAAGUGAGGCCCGUGUGCCUUUUUGUAUGUACUUUGUGAAUAAGGAUCGGCUAACUCCGUGCCAGCCGCCGCGGUAAUACGGAGGAUCCGAGCGUUAUCCGGAUUUAUUGGGGUUAAAGGGAGCGUAGAUGGGUUGUUAAGUCAGUUGUGAAAGUUUGCGGAUCAACCGUAAAAUUGCAAUUGAUACUGGCAGCCUUGAGUACAGGUGAGGUAGGCGGAAUUCGUGGUGUAGCGGUGAAAUGCUGAGAUAGCACGAAGAACUCCGAUUGCGAAGGCAGCCUACUAAACUGCCACUGACAUUGAUGCUCGAAAGUGUGGGUAUCAAACAGGAUUAGAUACCCCAGUAGUC